CAGGCCGGGCAGACAGCCGCCGCGCAGCGCGUAAGGCCUGCGGGGAGGAAAGUCCGGGCUACACAGGGCAGGAUGCCGGCUAACGGCCGGGCGUGGCAACACGACGGAAAGUGGAACAGAGAGCAGAACCGCCGAUGGCUGUUUUUCAGUACAGGCAAGGGUGAAAAGGUGCGGUAAGAGCGCACCGUGCACUUGGCAACAAGGCGCAGCAGGCCAAACCCCAUCCGUAGCAAGACCAAACAGAACGCACAGACGCGGCCCGCCGAGCGUUCGGGUAGGUUGCUGGAGCACAUCAGCAAUGAUGCGCCUAGAGGAAUGGCUGUCCGACGACAGAACCCGGCUUACCGCCCGACCUGUAUG
Molecule: RNase P RNA, 360 nt
Filed under: Neisseria sp.
Lineage: Bacteria; Pseudomonadati; Pseudomonadota; Betaproteobacteria; Neisseriales; Neisseriaceae
Also listed under: 1 other name
Description: RNase P RNA component class A
Rfam family: Bacterial RNase P class A
About the family: Ribonuclease P (RNase P) is a ubiquitous endoribonuclease, found in archaea, bacteria and eukarya as well as chloroplasts and mitochondria. Its best characterised activity is the generation of mature 5'-ends of tRNAs by cleaving the 5'-leader elements of precursor-tRNAs.
Source: RNAcentral